This 567-nucleotide ribosomal RNA is filed under the name Aureobasidium pullulans. RNAcentral describes it as "partial large subunit ribosomal RNA". It matches the Rfam family "Eukaryotic large subunit ribosomal RNA", at positions 91 to 673 of the family's 3401-position model. Lineage: Eukaryota; Fungi; Ascomycota; Dothideomycetes; Dothideales; Saccotheciaceae. The record is from RNAcentral.
GAGUGAAGCGGCAACAGCUCAAAUUUGAAAGCUAGCCUUCGGGUUCGCAUUGUAAUUUGUAGAGGAUGAUUUGGGGAAGCCGCCUGUCUAAGUUCCUUGGAACAGGACGUCAUAGAGGGUGAGAAUCCCGUAUGUGACAGGAAAUGGCACCCUAUGUAAAUCUCCUUCGACGAGUCGAGUUGUUUGGGAAUGCAGCUCUAAAUGGGAGGUAAAUUUCUUCUAAAGCUAAAUAUUGGCGAGAGACCGAUAGCGCACAAGUAGAGUGAUCGAAAGAUGAAAAGCACUUUGGAAAGAGAGUUAAAAAGCACGUGAAAUUGUUGAAAGGGAAGCGCUUGCAAUCAGACUUGUUUAAACUGUUCGGCCGGUCUUCUGACCGGUUUACUCAGUUUGGACAGGCCAGCAUCAGUUUCGGCGGCCGGAUAAAGGCUCUGGGAAUGUGGCCUCCACUUCGGUGGAGGUGUUAUAGCCCAGGGUGUAAUACGGCCAGCCGGGACUGAGGUCCGCGCUUCGGCUAGGAUGCUGGCGUAAUGGUUGUAAGCGACCCGUCUUGAAACACGGACCAUGCAA